GUAGGAGUGCCCGCUUUAAGACUGCUAAGAAAUUCUACGAUGAAAGAUGAGAGGAAUUUUUUGGAAUAGCAGAGGUCUACGCGACUUGGCUAAAACAAGAUUCCUCGCUGACGCCACGACGGAGCAUCAGCUAGACUUUAUUGCCGUUCUAGAGACAGGGAGAGAUAAGUUCUCUUCUCAGUUUCUGAGUUCUCUUUCCGCAGGGAUUGAUUUUGAUUGGCAUUGUCUACCUCCAAGAGGAAGAUCCGGAGGGAUCUUACUUGGAGUCAGAUGUGACACACUCCAGGUUAGGGAAGUAGUGUUUGGCGAUUUUGCGGUCAAAUUCAAAAUUACAUCCAAACUGGAUGGUUUUAGGUGGGCUCUAGUAGUGGUUUAUGGGACUGCUCAGCCUGAACUUAAAUCUGAGUUCUUGGCGGAUUUAGUUCGCAUCUGUGAUGACCAACUGCCUUUACUGAUUGGUGGCGAUUUUAAUAUUAUUCGAUGGGCGUAUGAAAAUAAUAAUAACAGUUUUGAUGGUAGAUGGUCAUUCUUGUUCAAUACUAUUAUUGAGAGCCUAGAACUGCGGGAGAUAGAACUCACAGGUAGGAAUUUCACUUGGGCAAAUUCCCUGCCGAAUCAAACUUUUGAGAAGUUAGAUAGAGUUCUUACCAGUGUAGAUUGGGAACAGAAGUUCCCUUUGGUUACAGUCCGUGCACUCCAAAGGGCGAUUUCCGAUCAUACCCCCUUGCUGUUGGAUACUGGGGAUGCAUUAUAUCUGGGUAAUCGAGACAGUUUCUCUUUCGAAUCCAGCUGGUUCUUAAGGGAGGGAUUUCUGGAGUUGAUAGACAGGGAAUGGAAUAGGACUUCGGGCGGCUCAUCAAGUGUACAACCAUGGCAAAAUAAAAUUAGACACCUGAGACAAUACCUUCGUGGCUGGGCUAAGCAUGUCUCGGGGACAUAUAAAGAUGAGCGGGAUAGGCUCAUAAACUUUAUCGAUGAGCUGGAUAGAAAGGCUGAGAACUGUGUGUUGGACGUAAAUGAUUGUCAACUCAGAUUUGAGGCUGAACAAAGGCUUCAUACUCUUCUCAGAGAGGAGGAGAUGAAGUGGGCGAAUAGAGCAAAAGUUAAAGCUAUUAUACUUGGGGAUAAUAACACUAAGUUCUUCCAUUUAAUAGCUAAUGGCAAGCACAUGAAGAAGAGGAUAGUGCAGCUUGAACAGGAUGAGGGUACCAUAGUUGGUCAUGAGAACCUAAAAUUAUACAUCUCAAACUAUUAUAAACAGCUUUUUGGUGCUCAUCAAGAUAGUUUUGUGACUAUGGACGAGUACCAGGUUGCAGAUAUUCCCCAAGUUGGGGAGGCUGAUAAUGAGUCUUUAUCUGCUCCUUUCUCGGAGAAAGAGGUGCUAGACGCAAUAGGAGGUUUGAAGUGUGGCAAGGCCCCUGGUCCGGAUGGGUUUCCGGCAGAGUUUUACAAACACUGCUGGCACAUCAUUAAGAAGGAUCUUAUGGCUAUGUUUGAUGAUCUGUAUGCUGGUAAUCUCCAACUCUUCCAUCUGAAUUUUGGUACUAUUACGUUGAUACCAAAGAAGGAAGGAGUGUCUCGUAUUGAGCAGUUUUGCCCGAUUUGUUUGCUUAAUGUUAGUUUCAAAAUAUUCACAAAGGUUGGAACAGAUAGACUAACAAAGAUGGCGCAUUCUGUGGUGCAAUCUUCGCAAACCGCAUUUAUGCCUGGGCGUAAUAUCCUUGAAGGGGUAGUGGUUCUCCAUGAGACUCUGCACGAAAUUCACUCAAAGAAACUUGAUGGAGUUAUCUUUAAAGUGGAUUUCGAAAAGGCAUAUGACAAAGUGAAAUGGUCCUUCUUGCAACAAACAUUGCGGAUGAAGGGGUUCGAUGACGUUUGGAGAAAGCACAUAGAUUCCUUUACUACAAGAGGGAGUGUCGGGAUCAAGGUCAAUGAUGAUAUUGGUCACUUCUUCCAGACACUAAAGGGGCUAAGACAAGGGGAUCCUAUGUCCCCUAUUCUCUUCAAUAUUGUUGCGGAUAUGUUGGCUCUGUUGAUCAAGAGAGCUAACGAAAAGGACCUUGUAGCUGGAUUAGUACCUCAUCUGGUGGAUGGGGGUGUAUCUAUUCUACAAUAUGCUGAUGAUACGAUUCUCUUUAUGGAGCAUGAUUUACUCAAAGCUAAAAAUCUUAAGCUCAUCUUGUGCCUUUUUGAGCAGUUAUCUGGGUUGAAGAUUAACUUCAAUAAAAGUGAGUUGUUUUGUUUUGGUGAAGCCAAAAAUCAACAACAUAUCUAUAAUCAGCUGUUUGGAUGUGUGGCAGGGGAAUUUCCUUUUACGUACUUAGGAAUUCCCAUCCACCAUCGUAAACUAUCUAAUGCGGAGUGGAAAUGCAUUAAGGAACGGUUUGAAAAGAAACUUAGUACUUGGAAAGGCAAGCUUCUUUCUUACGGAGGCAGAUUAGUGUUAGUUAAUUCAGUAUUAACUAGUAUGCCUAUGUUCCUCCUAUCUUUUUUUGAGAUACCUGUUGGGGUACGGAAAAGAUUGGAUUUCUACCGUUCUCGCUUUUUCUGGCAGAGUGAUGAGGUUAAGACUAAGUAUAGGUUGGCGAAAUGGGAUAUUAUUUGCCGUCCUAUAGAUCAAGGAGGAUUAGGUAUUGAAAAUUUGGAAACCAAAAAUAGAUGUCUGCUCAGCAAGUGGUUGUUUAGAUUGUCAAUGGAAACCGACGGAAUGUGGGUACAAAUUCUGACCAACAAGUACCUGCAGUCCAAAUCUUUAUCUCAGGUGGAAGCGAGACCUUUUGACUCGCCAUUCUGGAAGGGUCUAAUGCGGGUAAAAAGCUCAUUCUACCACAGAUCGAGGUUUAUCAUUGGGAACGGGGAAUUGACUAGAUUCUAGGAAGACACCUGGUUAGGAGAAGCGCCUUUGGCUCUUCAAUAUCCGCGGUUGUACCAUAUUGCCCAGCGUCGACAAGUGACAGUUGCGGUUGUAUUGCGUGAGAUUCCCCUUAAUAUUCAAUUCCGCAGAUCUCUAGUUGGGGAUAGAUGGGUUUCCUGGUUGCAUCUAGUUAGAAGGUUAAUGGAGGUUAACCUUUCUGAUAGGAGCUAUCGAAUCUCCUGGAGAUUAACACCAAAUGGGUUGUUUACGGUUAAAUCCAUGUAUUCUGAUCUCAUUGAUUCAGUACCUAUUCCAAAAUCCAAACAUGUUUGGAAGGUUAGAGUUCCUCUUAGAAUUGAAGUUUUCUUGUGGUUUGUUCACAAGGGAGUUAUUUUAACUAAGGGUAAUUUGGCCAAACGGAAUUGGAAGGGGAGCCCCAGAUGUUCUUUCUGUCCAAGAGUAGAAAGUAUUCAGCACCUCUUUCUCGACUGUCCUUUGGCUAAACUUGUUUGGCGCUCAAUUCAUAUUGCUUUUAACAUCUCUCCUCCUGUUAACUUGAACUCGUUAUUUGGAACGUGGUUACAGGGAAUUGAUGUUCAAUUGGCUAAAUCUAUUCGUGUCGGAGCAUGUGCUCUUCUUUGGGCUUUAUGGAAUAGCAGAAAUGAUUUGGUUUUUAACAGAACUCGUGAUAUUCAAUUUUUGCACGUUAUCUACAGAAUUACUGCACUGAUCCGUACAUGGUCGUUACUAACUCCUGGGGCAGCCAGGGAGCCUAUGGUUACUGGGUGUGUCCGCUCGGAGAUGGUAGCACAGGGUAUCUUCAACCGGUUUGGAUGGCGGCAUAUUAAUAGGAUAGGUGUUUAGUCAUCUUUAUCUUUUAGCCACUUCAGGCCGCGGCUCGAUGUUCGCCAUGUAUCUUUUUUCCUUUUUUUAUAUACUUUGUACUUUUUGAACACUUUGUUUGCUUAAUAUAUGGCUGUAUGCAUCCCUCGAUGUAGAGGCCGGGGCGAGGCCUCCUUUUCUAAAAAAAACUUCGUCUUCGUCACACCCUCGAACCCCUCCUCCUCGUCCCUUACCGUGAGCUCCGCGAGAGCCUCGGCCUCCGCGAGGGCCAUGAGCCACUGGAGCAUCUCGAGGACCCGAGAACCAGCGCCAGAGCCUCCCCUCUGGAGAGCCCGUCGCCUCCAGUCGGUGCUCACCGGAGCAGCCCCGCCUCCCGCCUCUCGUGUAACUCAGGCAAGCCGCCGGACCUCCUCCUCGUUGCCCCUAGCUCUCUCUCUGGUCCAGUCUUAUUUUCCUCUCCUCAAGGUCUCUUUCUCUUUCUCUGUAUGGCGCAGCAGCAGGAGAGAGCCAUGGCGCUUGCCGAGCUCCGCAUUGCCACUGCCCUGGUCAACCUCGACGGGCCCCGCCGUCGCUAGAAAUGGAUGCCCCUCCGCUGGAUCCGGAGCCCAGAGCCGGACUGCCCGUCCCCAUCGCACACGCGUACACCCAGUCGCGUCGCCCCACCUGCGAUUGCAUCUCCAGCCAAAGGAGACAGCAGCAAGUCUGUGUUUCAUGUUCAGUUUCGUCAGGUAAGCAUUAGGGUCUGUUUCAUCUGCAGCGAAUCCAGUUUUGUAUCACUUCCCGCUUCUAGCGCACUGGUCAGCGAGCUGCGUUGCAACUCGAGAGACCUGAGAUCGAAUCACAACGCGCCCACCAUUUUCAUUUCAUUUUCUGUUGCAUUUUUUUUGUUCAGUUCAGCGCUAGCUUAUGUUUCAUUUGGAGUAACUCCCCACAAGCAUCAUAAACCACACUGUUGUGGUUAGCAAAGCUAGUAUUCACCCAGGAGGCCAGGGAUCAAAUCCCCAUGGCUGCACCUCACUUUUGCAUUUUUUUCUUCUUCUUUGCUAUGCAUUUGGUCACUUGUCCAAUACACUGCCUAUUUACAAAAUGUCAUCUUUUAGGCGGCUAUUAAGUAUUUAACCAUGCAUGGCAUGCAAAAAUCAUAGAUUAUAGAAUGCGUAGAAUUUUGCGUAGUUUUGCAAAAGCCACUUCCAUACAUGAUAAAAGUAAUAAAACGCGUUGUUUGCAUUGAUUUGUGUGUUAACGUGUUAAAAUGUUUUAAUUCGUAGCUAGUUAACCGUAGCUCCGUUGGAGAUGUGCCAUAUAUGUAAAUGGACUAGAACGACGUGUAGUUUCACGUGAACCACUUUGUUUUGCCGUUUAACAAACAUAAAAUGUGGUUAGCAUAAAUCUGGACAGAUUUAGAAUUUAACGCGUGGGGUCAUUUCGGAGAUGCUAUAUGACGUUUUCGGCCUCAUUUAAAAUGUCUAGCUAGGUAGAUUAAUUUGUGCUUCACCCUCGUGCCAUGUUUAACAACAUUUAAUAAAGCCGCGUACCUGAACGGGAGUGAACUAAAUAAUUAAACGUGGAGUUUCGUCAUAUUGAGCUUCACUUAAUGUGUAGUGUUUGAUUGUUGUGAUUGUCAUGCCUUGCAUUAGACCGUUCAUGCAUCAUAUGUGUCUUGCAUCUUGUGGUGAAUAUCUGUGUUGAUGUUUGUUUCCGGUUUGCUCCGUCUUAAUAGAGUUCCGCAAGCGUGUCGGACUGUGAGGACCCGUUCGACUACGUUGGUUCGCCGACUUCUCGGAGUCAAUCUUCUCACAAGCGGGAUCUCAUGCAAGAUGACCAUUUCCCCAGAUACCAUUACUAUCAUUGCCAUGCUAGAUUUAUCGCUUCUACCGAUUAUGUCUGGUUGCCUACCGCAUGUUAAAUAUUAGCCUCUCAACAAUGCCAUGAUUAUCUUCAACCUGUUCGACCUAGUAAACCACUGAUUAGCUAUGUUACCGCUUGCUUAACCCUGUUGUUAGCGUUGCUAGUUGCAGAUGCAGAUGCUUCAAUGUGAUAACAUGGGUUCUUCGUUAUAUCACCAUGUUAAAUGCUAUUUAAUUUAAUGCACCUAUAUACUUGGUAAAAGGUAGAAGGCUCGGCCUUUCUAGCCUGGUGUUUUGUUCCACCUUUCCCCCCUUAGUUUCGGCUACCGGUGUUAUGUUCCAUAAAUGAGUGCUCCUAACACGAUCGGGGUUGUUAUGGGAACCCCCUUGAUAAUUCGUUUUAGAUUAAAGCUGGUCUGGCAAGGGCCAACAUUGGUACUACAUUUGCCCAACAUAAUAACUUGUUAAUACUGAAAGCAUAGGGCGUCAUGAACCCGAGGAGUAAUUUCACAUAAUACAGGGGGGCCAGUGCUGUUGGUGCUGGUCCAAAACUAGAGCCGUUUGCGGGGCCAACCCGGGGCAACUCGGGAGAUUUCUAUCAGGCCACCGUACCCUGUGCUUAUCCGUCGUGUCGUGAGAACGAGAUACGCGGCUCCUAUCGGGAUCGUCGACAAGUCGGGCGGCCUUGCUGGAUUAGUUUUACCUUUGACGAGAUAUCUUGUGCAUCGGGAUUCCGGUGAUGUUUUGGGUAAUCUCAGAGUUGAGGUUUUCCACUAGGGAAUCCGACGAGAUCGCGAGCUUCGUGAUUGAGGAUUUCUAUGCGGCUUGUGGUAAUUUUGUGAUGGACUAGUUGGAGCACCCCUGCAGGGUUAAAUCUUUUCGGAAAGCCGUGCCCGCGGUUACGUGACAACGUGGAAACUUGGUUUAACACUGGUUCUAGAUAACUCGAAGUUAACUUAAUUAAAAUAUGCCAACUGUGUGCGUAACCGUGAUUGUCUCUUUCGUGAGUUCCUUCUCCGAUCGAGGACACGGUGGGGUUAUGUCUGACGUAGGUAGGUGUUCAGGAUCAUUCAUUUGAUCAUCAGUAGUUCACGUCCGUUAAGCGUAGAUCUUCCCCCUCUUAUUUCUUGUACUCAUAAGUUAGCCACCUCAUAUAUGCUUAGUCGCUGCUGCAACCUCACUACUUAACCAUGCCUCGCCCAUUAAGCUUUGCUAGUCUUGAUACCUUUGGAAAUGAGAUUGCCGAGUCCCCUGUGGCUCACAUAUUAUUACAACACCAGUUGCAGGUACAGGUAAAGGGUACUUGACGCGAGCGCGUUGAUUGUUCAUUUGGAGUUGCUUCUUCUUCUUCUUCUUCAUCGAUCUAGGAUGGGUUCCAGGCCGGCAGCCUGGGAUAGCAAGGAUGGACGUCGUUCUUGUUUUGUCGGUUGUUUUCGUCCGUGGUCGGACCCUGCUCUUACUCUUGAUGAUUAUGUAAUGUACUGAUGUGACUCUGAUGUAGCUUGUGGCAAGUGUAAGCCAAUUCUAUAUAUCUCUUCUUUUCAGUACAUGUACUUGUAACGAUAUCCGUUCUUGCGACACGACGAGAUGCGCUUCUAUCCCUGACGAGGCCCUCGUGUCAAAUUGAGGAUAGGGUCGCAUCUUGGGCAUGACAAGUUGGUAUCAGAGCAGUACCGACCUAGGAGCCCCCUUGAUUGAUCGAACUUGGUCGAGUCGAGUCUAGUGAAAAAUUGCUUUGAGUCUAGUUAUAUAUCGGAGGGUAGGAUUCUUUUUUCUCCUCCUCUAUGCUCUGAUGAGGAAUCUUGACGUAAUAAUUUAAUUCUACUCCUCUUUUCACUCAAAUUUUUUUUAGGAUCACGCGGAUAUUCUUGGGAUCUAUAUGAUGCCGAUGUGACGGAGUUCUGUCUUGGUGCCUCCUAUCUGCUUUAAGUUUCAGGGGAGUUGAGCUCAAGGGGAUUCUUGAGCACAUCGUUAUCAUUCAGAUUUCUUAGUAUCUCAGAACGAAGGAUGUUCGUAAUUGCUUCAAUACUAGUAGUGGCGAGAUAACGCCGAUGUCCCCAGUACUCGUGCAGAUUGUUCGGGAGUACUGCCAUACUUUGUAUCGUUGUGAUCACGAGGGUCUGUUGUAGAUGAAGGUCCGAGAUUCUGGUUGUGUGUUGACGGAUGUUAUACAGGUGACGGGUUAGUAUAGGAGUUGUGUGUUAUUACUCCUUGUAUCCGUGUACCAGAUUGCAUGACCAGAAAUUUCGGGAAUUCAAAGGUGGGAAUUCAAGUAGUUGCUUAUAGGACAAUCUUCCAACAAAUGCAUGAUGUUAGGUUGGGGUUCGACAUCUAGUGGAUUCCUGUCCACGAAAAUAUCGGACGAAAUCUUUCUCAUGAGUUUGUUCUGGCUUGUUUCGUAAGCCUCACCCUUUGUUUUGUUGGAAUAUGGUAAUUCGUGUUGCUUCGAUGUCAAGUGGUGAUUUCAGAUCUUUCCUAAGAGUUGUUCUCAUAUUCAUAUGAGAGUGCUAAUCCUUUUGCUUAAUCAAUUGUCUUAUCAAUUCUUGUCAACCGGAGUUGUUAUAUCAAUUCUUUUCAACCGUGUGUUUCUCUCCAAGUGGAGUCAAUCCUCUCCAAUUUUUGCAAGAUCGUUCUCUCAUUUUAUUCCGGAGUUCAUCUCAUCUAGCCCAAGUUGUCUUUGUUUUUCCCCGCCCUCCCGCCCUUUUCUUCAGUGUUUGGAUUUCAACCAAGUGCAUUUCAUUCCAGUGAUGUUUCCGCUAUCUCGUCUUCCUUUCGUAGCCGGUGAUUCGUUGUGAAGAUUCUCAGUUCUCCGUGUUCAUCAUAUUCCUUUCGUCCUUGUAAUUCUUUCCUGUGUUGGAAAUUCUUAUCUAGUAUUCUGUUGUCAUUUAUCUCUAUUCUUUCCGGAGCGUUGAAGAUAUCCCAGUAGUUUCUUGUUUUCACAUCUUUCAUUAUUUCGAGGUGCCAACCUCAUCUAGUUCUCGUUAUACCGGCGCAAUAUCUCUCCUUAUAAUCAGUUGUUUCAACGGUGAUUUCUUUGAGUGGGCCCAUAACCCAUAGGUUUUUCCCAGGAUCUGUUAUACCUCUUUUAAUCUUUCCGGAGAUCUCUAAUUCUUUCAUCUAUGACGUAACUGUGAAUUUCAUCAGUCUUAUUCCUUCUUCAAGAUCUAUUUGAGUUAAUUCUCAUAAUUUUGGCUCAACCUUGCAUUCUUCUUUAUUCGAGAGUGUCUCAGCUAUUCUUGGUGUUGUGACUCGGCAUCGUUCUCAGCUUGCAAAUUCGGAGGAGUGUUUCUCUCAAAUCUUGGUUCAUUCUUGUGGAGAUUAUCAUUUCAGCUUGGUGCUAUCAUCUUCAAUUGUUUCUAUCAUGAGUAUCCCUUUCUUGCUAUCUGGUGCAUUUCUGAGUUGUUUACAUUCUCGUUCCUCCGAAGGCCAUCAUUUUAGAAGAUUCUUCGUUCUCAGCUUUCAACUUUCAUCCUCAAAUCUUCUCAAUUGUUGUCUCUUCGUUCGUCUCUCGAUUAUCCGGUGCCUUGUUCAAGUUUUCUCUCAGGUGGAUCAUGUUCUCUUCAUUCUCAUGUAUCUCCAUUAAUUCGUGGUGUUCCCAUUUAUUUGUGAAUUCUUACCGGUGCUUCCUUCAAUUUUGCCACAAAUGGUGCUUAUCUCUCUGCCUCUUCAAGAUUCUUUAAAGAUUAAGUGGUAUGCUAAAUCCGUUGCUUGUCAUCAAUUAAAUUUGAUGAAGGAUAAGCAUAACAUAAUUCUUAUUCUUGUUCAUAGUUAUCUGAAUUCUUCUUCCGGAGGGGCUCAUGGUUUCAAUUCUUUUCUCAAGUGUUCCUAUCUUUCUUUUCCGAAGUUCCAAGUUCUAUCAAGUAUCUCUUGUGAGGCUUCAUCUAAAUAUUGGUAAGUUCAUAAUCUUAUUCUUUUCUACCUUCAUAUCGUUGCAUCAUUAAUUUGUAUACGGAGGUCCUUCUUGGUGGUCCAUCAAGAUUUCAUUCAUGUUGAAGUGUUCUUCAAGAUUCUUAUUGGAGUACCUCAAGUUUUGUUCUCUUGCAUUUCCAAGUGCAUUGUUCUUUCUUUAUCCUUUGAGGUGGUAUUAUAGCAUUCUUGUUAGCGUAGGAGCCUCGAAGAGUUUUCCUCUCAAGAAUGAGAUAAUUAAAACCACCAAUUCUUUGAUCAUGAGAUAUUUUCAACCCAUGAUUUCUUCAUUGAGCUAUCUUGGUUUGAAUUUCACCUAAAGCUUUUCCUAUGGAUGGUUGCUAUCAUGGUGCUUGUCAUUAAUCCAAGUUCUCAAGGUAUCCUCUUGGUGUAAGAAAUUUUGCUUGUCUUGUUUCCCGAAUCUAUCCUUGUUUCUUUUAGUGGUUGUUUGUCACCUCAUAUUUGCUGAGAUGAUUUUCAUAAGCCCACUACUAUCUUGUUCUUUUCGUUGUCAUUUUUUCCAACAACUUCGUUCAAUUCUUCUUGCAUGGAUGCUUGCCAAGUUCAUUGGAGUAGUAGUUGUCAUUCUCUUCUUCCGUAUGAGCUAGUUCAUAUUCUCUUCCUCCGGAGGCAUUGUGAUGUUGCUCUUUGGGUCUAUUAUGUUGUUCUAUCAAGAUCAUGGUGUUCCCUUGUUCUAAUUACUUGUUUGUUGUGAAUAUUGCCUAAUUCUCUCUUCUUAUCGAAUUUUUUGUCCCAUUUUCCUACCGAAGUGCUGCCGAAAUUUUCCGUGAAUUCUUGCUCGUCUCUCAUAUCAUUCCUCAUCUCUUUGCAACUUUCAAGGAUUGUUGGUGUCACUCGUUUGUCAAAGAAGCGACUAAGUUUUUACCUCGUGUUCUUUCUCAUCCUCUCCCCCCUUUCAUUCUUGGAUCUCGGGGCGAGAUCCUCUUGUAGUGUAGGAGAGUUGUGACAGCCCGAGACCGACGUUCUAGAAGAUUCCCGUGUUAAUUCCGUUUCCGUCGUGUGAUUAGUUUUGUUUUUUGCAUUCAUCAUGUCAUCAUGCCAUCACGUCGUUUUUUUGCAACUCGAAUGCAUAAAUGGUACGGAUCCUUGGUCCAUUUAAAUCAAGGGAAUUCACAAGGUGAUUUCUCUAUAUAACUUAUCCUCCCAAUAUUAUUAGGGGGCCAUAAUGAAAUAUUCUAACCGUAACACACUUGCAAUUUAACUCCAUUCUUUCCUAUCUUAUUUCUUGCCUUCAACUUUGCCCAUAAUUCUUUUGCUUAAGGUCCAGCCACCCUCUUAAAUUCACCCCAUCCAUAGUUCAUUUAAAAGGGAGUUUGAAUUCAAACAUAACGAAUUUAAUUCAUUAUGUUUGGUAUUUUUUUUAUUUCCUUCAGAAAUGUUCAUCUUGUUCCCAUAAAUCAUAUUUAUUAUGUAGGGUGACCCUCCUAAAUUUCUUCCCAUUUGACAUUGGUUUGGUUAGGUUUUAAAUUCAGGCAAGCAUGAGUUAAAUCAAACUUGUUUAAAUUUAUUUCCUGUAAAAGUCUCCAAACUGAUUUUACAAAAUAGAGUAUAUUUUUAUGGUUCCACAAAAAUAUUUCUCCAACUCUAUUUCUCUCUCUACCUCUCGUUUUCUUUUUCUCGAGAUCUGUUUAUUGAAUUAAUGGCUAAGGAAGAUAUAAAAAGAGCAGGCCCAACUCUUACCUGUUUGAUCUCAGCCCAUUAAGCCCACCACCCCUUCUUCUUCCUACGUGACCUCCGUUAGGAACCACGGGAUCACCAUUGAUCUCCUGGAGCUCGAUCAGACGGCCGUCCCUUCUUCCUCUAGUCACAUAAGAGCACCCGAUGGGCCUAGGGUUCCCUCCUCCUUCCAUUUCCCCCCCUCUCUUCCUCCUGCCGCCGCCAAGAGAGGCCUCCUCCACGUCUCGCCAUGGUUUUGAUCUGUGACAGCCCGAGACUGACGUUCCAGAAGAUUCCCCUUUUCUUUCCGUUUUCAUCGUCUGUCUAUUUUAUUUUGUCGCAUCAUCAUCGCAUCAUUCACAUCAUCUGCAUUGCAUCGACAUCUCCGUUGCCGCCAGUUUUCAAAACUUGCAUCCGUUGUUAGUUACCGGUCUCGCCGUUGUCCGUUCUGAGCCCGACCACACACGCACACACCCGCGACAUCGUCAAAACCCUGUUUUAAAAGUGUGUUGAAAACUUUCUCUGAUCAGGGUGAAACUUGUCAUGCGGUCGAGAUUAGUUAUAGCCAGGCCGCCUGUCGAAUUUCGUCGCGAUCGGAGUCCGUCUGGUACCCGAACGGUCGACAACAGCAGCACCGUCUCCGGUUAUUCGUCGGACAUUUGCCGGUGUUUUAAAACUUGUUGCCGCGCCGCUCGUUCUCCCUCUCGUCUCCGGUUAUCCCCUCUACACGGCCGCGUACCCGUUCCCGUAUUCGGAAUUACUCGAAUCCGACCCCGCGGUUGGAUCCGGGUCGAAAUUUCGCUAAACCUAGCCCCCCUUUCCUAUUUAAACACACCUCCCCUUCCAUUUUAGACAGCCCCCUCUCCCCUGCCUCGAAAACCGUGCCAACCCUAGCCUCCCGCACCCUCUCUCUCCUCCCCUCGGUCCCUCAGCCGCCGCCUGGGCUCGCCGAGCCCAGAUCAGGCCCGGGNNNNNNNNNNNNNNNNNNNNNNNNNNNNNNNNNNNNNNNNNNNNNNNNNNNNNNNNNNNNNNNNNNNNNNNNNNNNNNNNNNNNNNNNNNNNNNNNNNNNAAGCUUGCAUAAUUGGGAACGUGAUCAAGUACAUUUCUCACAUUGUAAUAUUCUCACCAAUGUUUAUUUAUUUCAGUUGGAAAUUGCUAUAUACAACAAGUCAUUAGUCAGACCUGGUGGUCCUUAGCAUUAUUUCACGGAAUACAUGAUGGAUAACUAAGGACAUGGAUGGUU
This 12371-nucleotide long non-coding RNA is filed under the name Hordeum vulgare. RNAcentral's name for it is "long non-coding RNA (HVUL_LNC016958)". Lineage: Eukaryota; Viridiplantae; Streptophyta; Magnoliopsida; Poales; Poaceae. The record is from RNAcentral.